This 479-nucleotide ribosomal RNA is filed under the name uncultured microorganism. RNAcentral's name for it is "bacterial SSU rRNA". It matches the Rfam family "Bacterial small subunit ribosomal RNA", at positions 9 to 458 of the family's 1533-position model. The record is from RNAcentral.
GAGUUUGAUCAUGGCUCAGGAUGAACGCCGGCGGUGUGCCUAAUACAUGCAAGUCGUACGCACUGGCCCAACUGGUUGAUGGUGCUUGCACCUGAUCGACGAUGGAUCACCAGUGAGUGGGCGGACGGGUGAGUAACACGUAGGUAACCUGCCCUGUACAGGGGGAUAACAAUCAGAAAUGACUGCUAAUACCGCAUAAGACCACAGCACCGCAUGGUGCAGGGGUAAAAACUCCGGUGGUACAGGAUGGACCCGCGUCUGAUUAGCUGGUUGGUGAGGUAACGGCUCACCAAGGCGACGAUCAGUAGCCGGCUUGAGAGAGUGAACGGCCACAUUGGGACUGAGACACGGCCCAAACUCCUACGGGAGGCAGCAGUGGGGAAUAUUGCACAAUGGGGAAACCCUGAUGCAGCAACGCCGCGUGAGUGAAGAAGUAUUUCGGUAUGUAAAGCUCUAUCAGCAGGGAGAAAGUGACGUAC